UUUCUCUAAUUAACAUAAAACACACUAAGACUUCUAAUCCUAAGUGAGGUCAUUGGCACAUGUCUUAGUAGAGGCUUAUCAUAAUAUUUAUGAAUGAUCUAUCAAUGAAGGACCACCAACAGAAUGAAUCAGUGAUCUAUUAGUAAAGCGCAGUUCUUCAUCCCUUCUCAGACAACUCCUUGAUAAUAAGCACAAAUCAAGUAGCUUCACUAAUACAAUUCCGUUGAAAUAUUAUCUCAUAACGGAGGCAGAAACCACGGAUUGAUCUUGGCGCGGGGCUCACAGUACAAAAGCACUUUGCAUCAUUAUUGCCAGUAGGCCAAUCUUAUUUGGUAUUUCUCCUUUUUAGAUUGCACUUAGGCCGUUCAUUUCAAUGUGGGGCUUCCUCACUUCAAUCCAUAUAGUCACUAAAGAUGAUUGAACUACACCCAGGUAUCUUUUGAGAUCCUCCAUCUACC
RNAcentral lists this long non-coding RNA (458 nucleotides) under Vigna radiata. RNAcentral's name for it is "long non-coding RNA (VRAD_LNC013098)". Lineage: Eukaryota; Viridiplantae; Streptophyta; Magnoliopsida; Fabales; Fabaceae. The record is from RNAcentral.